CUUGCUCUUCUUGGAUGAGUUGCGAACGGGUGAGUAACGCGUAGGUAACCUGCCUUGUAGCGGGGGAUAACUAUUGGAAACGAUAGCUAAUACCGCAUAACAAUGGAUGACUCAUGUCAUUUAUUUGAAAGGGGCAAUUGCUCCACUACAAGAUGGACCUGCGUUGUAUUAACUAGUAGGUGAGGUAACGGCUCACCUAUGCGACGAUACAUAACCGACCUGAGAGGGUGAUCGGCCACACUGGGACUGAGACACGGCCCAGACUCCUACGGGAGGCAGCAGUAGGGAAUCUUCUGCAAUGGGGGCAACCCUGACCGAUCAACGCCGCGUGAGUGAAGAAGGUUUUCGGAUCGUAAAACUCUGUUGUAAGUCAAGAACGAGUGUGAGAGUGGAAAGUUCACACUGUGACGGUAGCUUACCAGAAAGGGACGGCUAACUACGUGCCAGCAGCCGCGGUAAUACGUAGGUCCCGAGCGUUGUCCGGAUUUAUUGGGCGUAAAGCGAGCGCAGGCGGUUUGAUAAGUCUGAAGUUAAAGGCUGUGGCUCAACCAUAGUUCGCUUUGGAAACUGUCAAACUUGAGUGCAGAAGGGGAGAGUGGAAUUCCAUGUGUAGCGGUGAAAUGCGUAGAUAUAUGGAGGAACACCGGUGGCGAAAGCGGCUCUCUGGUCUGUAACUGAC
Molecule: ribosomal RNA, 679 nt
Filed under: Streptococcus sp. HGH0054
Lineage: Bacteria; Bacillati; Bacillota; Bacilli; Lactobacillales; Streptococcaceae
Description: bacterial SSU rRNA
Rfam family: Bacterial small subunit ribosomal RNA
Source: RNAcentral